CCUGUAUGUGGAUUCGACGCUGUGGAAAGCAGCAAUCAACUUUUUUAUACUUGGAAAAGCAAAGUUGGUUUGCACGCAGAGGCAUCACUUAUCCGCUGUUGUUUCUACAGCUUCAGCUAGCAGCAACCACAGCAGUAGCAGUUCGAUUAUAAAAGGCAGCGACAGUCAAGAAAAAAACUGGAGAAUGGGGAGGACAAGAAUCUAGCAAGGGAGAAGGGCAAAAAGAAAGCCGGUGAUCAAGAUUUCAGGAAAGUCCCGUUGGAAAGGAGAGCCGUCCGAGUCUAGAUCGUGUCCACAUCAG
Molecule: long non-coding RNA, 301 nt
Organism: Triticum dicoccoides
Lineage: Eukaryota; Viridiplantae; Streptophyta; Magnoliopsida; Poales; Poaceae
Exons: 3
Source: RefSeq, a predicted model, not a curated record